CUACGGGUGGCACCAGUGAGGAAUAUUGGGCAAUGGAGGAAACUCUGACCCAGCCAUGCCGCGUGCAGGAAGACGGCCCUAUGGGUUGUAAACUGCUUUUGUACGAGAAUAAACCUUUCCACGUGUGGAAAGCUGAAGGUACCGUACGAAUAAGGAUCGGCUAACUCCGUGCCAGCAGCCGCGGUAAUACGGAGGAUCCAAGCGUUAUCCGGAUUUAUUGGGUUUAAAGGGUCCGUAGGCGGGUUUUUAAGUCAGUGGUGAAAGCCUACAGCUCAACUGUAGAAUUGCCAUUGAUACUGGAGACCUUGAGUGUAGUAGAAGUAGGCGGAAUAAGGCAUGUAGCGGUGAAAUGCAUAGAUAUGCCUUAGAACACCGAUUGCGAAGGCAGCUUACUAUGUUACAACUGACGCUGAGGGACGAAAGCGUGGGGAGCGAACAGGAUUAGAUACCCUGGUAGUC
RNAcentral lists this ribosomal RNA (459 nucleotides) under uncultured bacterium. RNAcentral describes it as "partial 16S ribosomal RNA". It matches the Rfam family "Bacterial small subunit ribosomal RNA", at positions 339 to 795 of the family's 1533-position model. The record is from RNAcentral.